GACGAACGCUGGCGGCGUGCCUAAUACAUGCAAGUCGAACGCAUUUUCUUUCACCGUAGCUUGCUACACCGAAAGGAAAUGAGUGGCGAACGGGUGAGUAACACGUGGGUAACCUGCCCAUCAGCGGGGGAUAACACUUGGAAACAGGUGCUAAUACCGCAUAAUUCCAUUUACCGCAUGGUAGAUGGGUGAAAGGCGCUUUUGCGUCACUGAUGGAUGGACCCGCGGUGCAUUAGCUAGUUGGUGGGGUAACGGCCUACCAAGGCUGCGAUGCAUAGCCGACCUGAGAGGGUGAUCGGCCACACUGGGACUGAGACACGGCCCAGACUCCUACGGGAGGCAGCAGUAGGGAAUCUUCGGCAAUGGACGCAAGUCUGACCGAGCAACGCCGCGUGAGUGAAGAAGGUUUUCGGAUCGUAAAACUCUGUUGUUAGAGAAGAACAAGGAUGAGAGUGGAAAGUUCAUCCCUUGACGGUAUCUAACCAGAAAGCCACGGCUAACUACGUG
Molecule: ribosomal RNA, 507 nt
Filed under: uncultured bacterium
Lineage: Bacteria
Description: partial 16S ribosomal RNA
Rfam family: Bacterial small subunit ribosomal RNA
Source: RNAcentral